This 60-nucleotide transfer RNA is filed under the name Tomoxia bucephala. Its description in RNAcentral is "tRNA-Ser". The record is from RNAcentral. Lineage: Eukaryota; Metazoa; Arthropoda; Insecta; Coleoptera; Mordellidae.
GAAAUAUCUAUAGUUAAGCUUCUAACUUAAUAAAAAGCGAUUAAACCCGUUUAUAUUUCU